This 556-nucleotide long non-coding RNA is filed under the name Brachypodium distachyon (stiff brome). RNAcentral's name for it is "long non-coding RNA (BDIS_LNC004986)". The record is from RNAcentral. Lineage: Eukaryota; Viridiplantae; Streptophyta; Magnoliopsida; Poales; Poaceae.
CUGCCUUUUUUCGUGUCGAGCUUAAACGAACACCUCUUCGAUUAUCUUCGUGUGAAUUUCUAUACUUUUGACGUGCUAUUGGACUACUGGAACAUGUUUCUUUCUUGCUAAAGGUUUUUUUUUUUCACUUCAGCUUUUUUGCGAGGUGACCCUAGAAAAGAUUAUUUACACCGGUACACGUCGCUCUACCACUAAAUAAACAAAUUAACACAGAUCAAGUAGAACUAUACAUAGCUCGAUUGGAAGACGGUAUUUUAUUUUUGUUCUCGUCGAAGGAAUGAAAUGUAAAAGAACACAUCAAAUUGAACCAAACAAACAAAUUUCUGGCGCAGAGGAUCCAAACUCCUCCCUCUACUUUUCUGCCUCCACAGCAGCACACCACUUGUCACUAGCUAGUGGGCCCUAGCCAGCCACCAUAUGCACAGUCUCACCAUAUUCCAAGUGGACCCACACACACUCUUCUUCUUCUGACCAUUUGUGCUGCUGUCCAAACAUAAACAUGCACACACAGUCUCACCAUAUCAUUGCUCCUUCCACUCAUAUGAGCUCCAGCACA